UACGGGAGGCAGCAGUGGGGAAUAUUGCACAAUGGGCGAAAGCCUGAUGCAGCUAUGCCGCGUGUAUGAAGAAGGCCUUAGGGUUGUAAAGUACUUUCAUCGGGGAGGAAAAACAAAACUAAUAAUUUUAUUUCUUGACGUUACCCGAAAAAGAAGCACCGGCUAACUCCGUGCCAGCAGCCGCGGUAAUACGGAGGGUGCUAGCGUUAAUCAGAAUUACUGGGCGUAAAGAGCACGUAGGUGGUUUUUUUAAGUCAGAUGUGAAAUCCCUGGGCUUAACCUGGAACUGCAUUUUGAAACUGAAAUACUAGAGUAUCGUAGAGGGAGGUAGAAUUCUAGGUGUAGCGGUGAAAUGCGUAGAUAUCUGGAGGAAUACCUGUGGCGAAAGCGGCCUCCUAAACGAAUACUGACGCUGAGGUGCGAAAGCGUGGGGAGCAAACAGGGAUUAGAUACC
RNAcentral lists this ribosomal RNA (454 nucleotides) under uncultured bacterium. RNAcentral describes it as "bacterial SSU rRNA". It matches the Rfam family "Bacterial small subunit ribosomal RNA", at positions 340 to 786 of the family's 1533-position model. The record is from RNAcentral.